UGGAGCAGGUCCCAAGGGUUUGGCUGUUCGCCAAUUAAAGCGGUACGCGAGCUGGGUUUAGAACGUCGUGAGACAGUUCGGUCCCUAUCCGUCGUGGGCGUAGGAGUUUUGAGAGGAUCUGUCCCUAGUACGAGAGGACCGGGAUGGACUGACCUCUGGUGUUCCAGUUGUCACGCCAGUGGCAUUGCUGGGUAGCUACGUUGGGAAUGGAUAACCGCUGAAAGCAUCUAAGCGGGAAGCCAACCUCGAGAUGAGAACUCCCAGGACAUUAGUCCUCUAAAGGCCCCUCGUAGACUACGAGGUUGAUAGGCAGGGUGUGUACGCACAGUAAUGUGUUUAGCUAACCUGUACUAAUAGGCCGUGAGGCUUGAUUUU
Molecule: ribosomal RNA, 375 nt
Filed under: Deltaproteobacteria bacterium
Lineage: Bacteria; Pseudomonadati; Myxococcota; Myxococcia
Description: bacterial LSU rRNA
Rfam family: Bacterial large subunit ribosomal RNA
Source: RNAcentral